GCGCGGCCUCCGCCGAGUCCGACACGUUCGGAGCCGGGGACCCACCACGAUCUCUUGGGGUGAAUCGGUCCCGUACACACCCGGUACGGAACCGUAGGGCAGCCUUCCGGAUCACCCGCCCGAACCCGACAGCUAACCCGGUAGGCGGUCCACGGAAGGAGUC
This 163-nucleotide small RNA is filed under the name Streptomyces silvensis. RNAcentral's name for it is "c-di-AMP sequence". It matches the Rfam family "c-di-AMP riboswitch aptamer (ydaO/yuaA leader)". From Rfam's summary of the family: This family represents a conserved RNA structure found upstream of the ydaO and yuaA genes in Bacillus subtilis and related genes in other bacteria. The ydaO/yuaA element is thought to act as a genetic "off" switch for the ydaO and yuaA genes in its native state. The record is from RNAcentral. Lineage: Bacteria; Bacillati; Actinomycetota; Actinomycetes; Kitasatosporales; Streptomycetaceae.